UUAAGGUUUUAAGUGCCCGUCGGUACGGACCGUAUCCACCGUACCGUACCGUACCAACAAGAUACCGGCACGAUACAGACUCUGUGCCGAUGACACAGUUCAAAACCCUCUAUUCUUUAAAUUAGUAAGUAAUUUUCUCAAUAAAGCUCAAAAGAUGUGAUAAAAAGACAUAAUAAAUAGUUAGAAUAUUUUGUUGCUAAAAAAAAUAAAUAUUUCAUGUUACUAUGUGUGGGCACAUAAGAAUUUUUUGACCGGCACGCAUCGGCACGACUCGGCAUGCACCGCGCCGGCAAGUUUCCGGCACGACCCCAUGCCACGGCACUUAAAUCCUUGCAUGUGAUGCUUUUAUCUCUUU
This 355-nucleotide long non-coding RNA is filed under the name Ananas comosus (pineapple). Its description in RNAcentral is "long non-coding RNA (ACOM_LNC017543)". Lineage: Eukaryota; Viridiplantae; Streptophyta; Magnoliopsida; Poales; Bromeliaceae. The record is from RNAcentral.